RNAcentral lists this ribosomal RNA (497 nucleotides) under uncultured bacterium. RNAcentral describes it as "partial 16S ribosomal RNA". It matches the Rfam family "Bacterial small subunit ribosomal RNA", at positions 28 to 507 of the family's 1533-position model. The record is from RNAcentral.
GAUGAACGCUGGCGGCGUGCCUAAUACAUGCAAGUCGAGCGAACAGACGAGGAGCUUGCUCCUUUGACGUUAGCGGCGGACGGGUGAGUAACACGUGGGUAACCUACCUAUAAGACUGGGAUAACUUCGGGAAACCGGAGCUAAUACCGGAUAAUAUUUCGAACCGCAUGGUUCGAUAGUGAAAGAUGGCUUUGCUAUCACUUAUAGAUGGACCUGCGCCGUAUUAGCUAGUUGGUAAGGUAACGGCUUACCGAGGCAACGAUACGUAGCCGACCUGAGAGGGUGAUCGGCCACACUGGAACUGAGACACGGUCCAGACUCCUACGGGAGGCAGCAGUAGGGAAUCUUCCGCAAUGGGCGAAAGCCUGACGGAGCAACGCCGCGUGAGUGAUGAAGGUCUUCGGAUCGUAAAACUGUGUUAUUAGGGAAGAAUAAACGUGUAAGUAACUGUGCACGUCUUGACGGUACCUAAUCAGAAAGCCACGGCUAACUACGUG